Molecule: ribosomal RNA, 253 nt
Filed under: uncultured bacterium
Lineage: Bacteria
Description: partial 16S ribosomal RNA
Rfam family: Bacterial small subunit ribosomal RNA
Source: RNAcentral
UACAGAAGGUGCGAGCGUUAAUCGGAUUUACUGGGCGUAAAGGGCGCGUAGGUGGUAAAGCAAGUAAGAUGUGAAAGCCCCAGGCUUAACCUGGGAAGUGCAUCUUAAACUGCUUAACUAGAGUAUGUUAGAGGGUAGUGGAAUUUCCGGUGUAGCGGUGAAAUGCGUAGAUAUCGGAAGGAACGCCAGUGGUGAAGACGACUACCUGGAACAAUACUGACACUGAGGCGCGAAAGCGUGGGGAUCAAACAGG